CCGUGAGAACAAAGAGCAGUCACACACACACACACACACACACACACACACACACACACACACACACACAACAGCCAUCAAACGCGGGCCUAGGCCAAACGUAGUUGCCUGUGUGCGCGUGUGCGUGCGUGUGUGUGAGGUUCCAGCUCGUUCUCCGUUUCUCCGUUUCUCUACAUCUCUACAUCUCUCUCUGUCCGGCACCGUCGACACACACACACACACCCACGGGCACGCAUCCUCAUACCCACAUACGCAGAGACCUGGGGGAGCUCGUCGAACCAACCGCUGCGCGCAUUACUGUCUCCGCUCGUCGAAAGGAUGCGCAGCAGCGCGUACCAGCUGACGAAGGUCGCGUGCCACGCCGCCGCCAAGCCGAGAAGUGCUGCUCCGGUGACUGGUACGAGCUCGGCAGCCGGCAAGCAGGCCGUGGAGGAGCUGGAGGUCUACCUGCGUGUCAUGAAGACGGCGCAGCGUCGGUGGGCGCGUGAGAUUGUCGCCCAUGAGACGCACGUGCGGCGCUUGAUGAUUAUGGAGGAGCACUGCCGGGAGCGGCUGAAGCAGCAGGUGCUCAAGGGAACCCGUGAGCACCUCAAGUACCUCACGAACACGGAUCUGAUGGCAGCUUCCCAGCUCGUCUCGCCUCCGUCGGUGGACGUCUUCCUUGCUUACGGCAUCCUGCCAGAGCAGGUGAGCGGGUUCACGGUGUACGUCAUGGGGUGUCUCGUGGCGGACCCGAACCGGCUCAAUGUGCCCCUUCCCAUUCUCAUCGCGGACCUCUCCAGCACCUGGGCCAUCGUGCCGCCACGCAAGAAGGAGGCAUACAACGAGCUUGCCGCGAUCUUCCGACCUCACCUACCGCCUCGUGCCGCCGACGUGGAGGGCAACGAUGCUCGAGCGACUGAAGCGACAACCGCGGUGCCCAAACGCAGAGUUGGCGGAACGCUAAAAGCAACUCGAAGGAACACAGCAUCCGGCGAUGCGGGUGUACGAGUGCGCGCCCAUGCACCGCUGCCCCGGCAUGGGCGUGGGUUUCAGCCCAAGCCUUCAGCGGCCGCGACAGGCAAGAGUCCGGUGCCCCAGGUGCUCCGCUCCGCCGGCAAGCAACUCCAAGUGCAGUGUAGGACAGCGACGGCGUCAGCGAGAGCACCAGUGCCCCCAUUGACGUCGCUGUCAUCGCCAACGGCUGCAGCCACACAGCCCUCCACUCUACCGCGAAGCGCGAAGCGCGAGCACAGCGCGUCAAAGACCGCCGCAUGUGUCAACAACCGCGCUGGCAGUAGCGUCAUCUCCCGCUCUCGAUCCCAGCCCGUGGCGCCGCCACCCCAACCGCGGCGUCAGCCUGCUCUUCGUGCGGCUGACAAGGCUGCCGUGGCUGCUCUGGCGGAGGAGCUUCAGCUGCCUGACGCCGAACGGGACGCCUUCUGCCAGUUUGCCGAGGCCAGUCUGCACGAGAUGGAGAUGGCCUUAAACUUGCCGUUUGUGUCGCCCAACAGUGACCGCAGCAGCGGCAGCUCAAAGGCAAAGAGGUCGGCCAAGACGCCGCGCGGCGGCGUACAGCUCGUCGUGAAGGAGUGGCUACCCAUCGCGGCGGAGGAGUGGGCGCGCAAGACGCGGCGGCAGAAGCGCUUCUACAUGCGUGGCUAGGCUGCCCUGAGUCGCCAUGUGACACACGCGGCACCGCAGUGGGCUUAAAAGAGGUUGUGCAUGCAGCUUGUGCUCUAUCUUCUCCCACUGACCCUCUCUUCUGCGCGAGGCGGCGUGGCUUUCGAAUUCGCUGCGGCAAUCGCGGACACGGGAUAGGGUGGACUAUGCCCAUGCGCGGAUGUGAUCUGCAAUGCGACGGUGCUGCCAACAUCGCGUGCACUCACCUUCCUCUUUUAUAUCUGUGCACGAGAACGCACUCGAAGCUCUUCCUUUCUCACAGACCUACCUUGAGAUGGUGCGCCCAACCCUCAUGUGCGCAUCGCUCGCAUGGAUGACACAGGCGUGCCACCCACACCAGCCAACAGUUGGCUGCGGUCAUAGAAGCGGCGUCGUUCUUUCUCUCCUUCUCCCUCUCUCUCGCCCCCUCCAACCUCCACACUCUACUCUCUGCCCGCAACAUCCUUUCGUUCAGCAGUGAAGGAUGGGAACGCUUGUGUGUGUGUGUGUGUGAGUGUCGGUGGCGAGAGUGAGGUGAGGGGAGGGGAGAGAGGUCGGCAGAUGCGCGCAUCAGCAUAGAGUACCAUAAGAAAUUUGCUCACUCACGGGAGGAUUACAAGACGGCAACCAUGGGCGGGGUGACCAGGCUGGGUCCCGUGCGUGUGUGUGUGCGGCGGCAUGCACAGAGACAUCCUGCUCCUUCCUCCCCUCCCUUCUGCUUCCAUCGAUACUCCGUCACCCUCUCUCUCUGUGUCCGUCUCCCCACUCCCUCUUAACUGUACGUCACCUGUGUAUCACUACAACCUCGACUGUCUUCACCGUUAUGUGCUGCUGCAUGUAACAUCGCUCUGUGUACUCUCUCUCUCUCUUCAGCUUGUAGCGCGCGUCGUCUUCGCCCCCUUUGCCCGCUUCUCUUCCAUUUCACAUCCUCAUCACGUCGUUGCCCCAUCCAUCCCCCCUCCCUUCAGACUGGUCCCCUGAUCGGUUGUGCCAUUGGAGGCAGGGAUGAGGGGGCGGGUGGAUGGGGGGAACGGUGGCGAAGGGGAAGAAGUGGGCCAGGCGUUGUGGGUGGCCGUUGUUUGUACCGUUUCAUUGCUUCACUUCUGUACAUCUUCUCGCGAGUGACACCGCUGUCAUUGCCAUGCCCAGUCCCCAUAGAUGUAUCGCCGCACGAUGUCCUCGUCCACACCGCUGGACAACCAUAUGCGGCC
This 2852-nucleotide unclassified non-coding RNA is filed under the name Leishmania donovani. RNAcentral's name for it is "gene:LdHU3.21.0680(CDS-product:hypothetical_prote in_conserved)". The record is from RNAcentral. Lineage: Eukaryota; Euglenozoa; Kinetoplastea; Trypanosomatida; Trypanosomatidae.